Molecule: ribosomal RNA, 455 nt
Filed under: uncultured bacterium
Lineage: Bacteria
Description: bacterial SSU rRNA
Rfam family: Bacterial small subunit ribosomal RNA
Source: RNAcentral
UACGGAAGGCAGCGGUGGGGAAUAUUGCACAAUGGGCGCAAGCCUGAUGCAGCCAUGCCGCGUGUAUGAAGAAGGCCUUCGGGUUGUAAAGUACUUUCAGUCGUGAGGAAGGUGUUAAGGUUAAUAACCUUAGCAAUUGACGUUAGCGACAGAAGAAGCACCGGCUAACUCCGUGCCAGCAGCCGCGGUAAUACGGAGGGUGCGAGCGUUAAUCGGAAUUACUGGGCGUAAAGGGCACGCAGGCGGUUAAUUAAGUUGGAUGUGAAAUCCCCGGGCUUAACCUGGGAAUGGCAUUCAAGACUGGUUAGCUAGAGUCUUGUAGAGGGGGUUAGAAGUUCCAUGUGUAGCGGUGAAAUGCGUAGAGAUGUGGAGGAAUACCGGUGGCGAAGGCGGCCCCUGGACAAAGACUGACGCUCAUGUGCGAAAGCGUGGGGAGCAAACAGGGAUUAGAUACC